Molecule: ribosomal RNA, 500 nt
Filed under: uncultured bacterium
Lineage: Bacteria
Description: bacterial SSU rRNA
Rfam family: Bacterial small subunit ribosomal RNA
Source: RNAcentral
CGAACGCUGGCGGCGUGCUUAACACAUGCAAGUCGAACGAGAAAGCUCCCUUCGGGGGGUGAGUAAAGUGGCAGACGGGUGAGUAACACGUGGGUAACCUGCCCGCGGGUGGGGGAUAACCCUCCGAAAGGAGGGCUAAUACCGCAUAACAUCUCGAGCUCUUCGGCGCACGAGAUCAAAGCUUGCCUCUUCUUGAAAGCAAGCACCUGUGGAGGGGCCCGCGCCCCAUUAGCUUGUUGGUGAGGUAACGGCUCACCAAGGCCACGAUGGGUAGCCGGCCUGAGAGGGUGAUCUGCCACACUGGAACUGAGACACGGUCCAGACUCCUACGGGAGGCAGCAGUGAGGAAUUUUGCGCAAUGGGCGAAAGCCUGACGCAGCGACGCCGCGUGGAGGACGAAGGUCUUCGGAUCGUAAACUCCUGUCAAGUGGGACGAAAUCCGGGCGGAUGAAUAAGCCGUUCGGUUGACGGUACCACUGAAGGAAGCCCCGGCUAACUCC